ACAUGACUAUCAUGCAAGUCGAGCGACAGAGAAGGAGCUUGCUCCUUUGACGUUAGCGGCGGACGGGUGAGUAACACGUGGGCAACCUACCUUAUAGUUUGGGAUAACUCCGGGAAACCGGGGCUAAUACCGAAUAAUCUGUUUCACCUCAUGGUGAAAUAUUGAAAGACGGUUUCGGCUGUCGCUAUAGGAUGGGCCCGCGGCGCAUUAGCUAGUUGGUGAGGUAACGGCUCACCAAGGCGACGAUGCGUAGCCGACCUGAGAGGGUGAUCGGCCACACUGGGACUGAGACACGGCCCAGACUCCUACGGGAGGCAGCAGUAGGGAAUCUUCCACAAUGGGCGAAAGCCUGAUGGAGCAACGCCGCGUGAGUGAAGAAGGAUUUCGGUUCGUAAAACUCUGUUGUAAGGGAAGAACAAGUACAGUAGUAACUGGCUGUACCUUGACGGCACCUUAUUAGAAAGCCACGGCUAACUACGUGCCAGCAGCCGCGGUAAUACGUAGGUGGCAAGCGUUGUCCGGAAUUAUUGGGCGUAAACCGCGCGCAGGUGGUUUCUUAAGUCUGAUGUGAAAGCCCACGGCUCAACCGUGGAGGGUCAUUGGAAAAUGUGAGACUUGAGAGCAAAAGAGGAUAG
RNAcentral lists this ribosomal RNA (635 nucleotides) under Lysinibacillus fusiformis. RNAcentral describes it as "bacterial SSU rRNA". It matches the Rfam family "Bacterial small subunit ribosomal RNA", at positions 42 to 661 of the family's 1533-position model. Lineage: Bacteria; Bacillati; Bacillota; Bacilli; Caryophanales; Bacillaceae. The record is from RNAcentral.